GAAAAAUUAGCAAGCUCUGCUCGGAUAUAAUGAUAGAUUUAGGGUUUCAAGAAUCAAAGACAAAUGAGAUAAAUUGCAGAAAUUCUUUAUUUCAACUGGAAUAAGAUCAUAAACAAAUAAUCGAAUGCCAAUAAACAAUUCAAGAAAAGAGAAUAAGAAUAAAAUAGGAGACUUCAGCUCACAAAACUCAAUUACACUAAUA
RNAcentral lists this unclassified non-coding RNA (202 nucleotides) under Hevea brasiliensis (rubber tree). The record is from RNAcentral. Lineage: Eukaryota; Viridiplantae; Streptophyta; Magnoliopsida; Malpighiales; Euphorbiaceae.